RNAcentral lists this ribosomal RNA (433 nucleotides) under uncultured bacterium. RNAcentral's name for it is "partial 16S ribosomal RNA". It matches the Rfam family "Bacterial small subunit ribosomal RNA", at positions 29 to 507 of the family's 1533-position model. The record is from RNAcentral.
AACGAACGCUGGCGGCAUGCCUAACACAUGCAAGUCGAACGAAGGCUUCGGCCUUAGUGGCGCACGGGUGCGUAACGCGUGGGAAUCUGCCCUUUGGUUCGGAAUAACAGCUGGAAACGGCUGCUAAUACCGGAUGAUGACGAAAGUCCAAAGAUUUAUCGCCAGAGGAUGAGCCCGCGUUGGAUUAGGUAGUUGGUGGGGUAAAGGCCUACCAAGCCGACGAUCCAUAGCUGGUCUGAGAGGAUGAUCAGCCACACUGGGACUGAGACACGGCCCAGACUCUUACGGGAGGCAGCAGUGGGGAAUAUUGGACAAUGGGCUCAAGGCUGAUCCAGCAAUGCCGCGUGAGUGAUGAAGGCCCUAGGGUUGUAAAGCUCUUUUACCCGGGAAGAUAAUGACUGUACCGAGAGAAUAAGCCCCGGCUAACUCCGUG